RNAcentral lists this unclassified non-coding RNA (296 nucleotides) under uncultured fungus. RNAcentral's name for it is "sequence contains ITS2". Lineage: Eukaryota; Fungi. The record is from RNAcentral.
AACGCACCUUGCACCUUUUGGUAUUCCGAAAGGUACACCCGUUUGAGUGUCAUUGUAAUCUCACUCCACCAGCAUUUUGUUGAUGGAUGUGGACCUGGACUUUGUUGUGUUACUACAACUGGUCUGAAAUGCAUGAGUGCACCCUGCUGUUGCAGCGUUUUCAGUGUGAUAAGCAUCUUCACUGGAUCAAGUUCCCUUGGGACACGCAGGCAUUGUGGGCUCUGUGCUGGCAAACUGUCUUUGGACAAUUUUGACAAUUUGACCUCAGAUCGGGUGGGACUACCCGCUGAACUUAA